Molecule: unclassified non-coding RNA, 240 nt
Filed under: soil metagenome
Description: partial contains 5.8S ribosomal RNA, internal transcribed spacer 2, and large subunit ribosomal RNA
Source: RNAcentral
AACAAGGCGUACCUGCGGACCUGCGGAGGGAUCAUUACCAAUUCAACGGUGUGGUCGCGGCCUCCGGGGGCUCCCCCCGGGCGGUAGAGGUAACACUCUUACGCGCCACAUGUCUGAAUCCUUUUUUUACGAGCACCUUUCGUUCUCCUUCGGUGGGGCAACCUGCCGUUGGAACUUAUUAAAACCUUUUUUUGCAUCUAGCAUUACCUGUUCAGAUACAAACAAUCGUUACAACUUUUA